ACCCGACUAGGCGGGUAUAAAAAGACUUCAAGCCUAGUGCGUUGCUCCCCCUGUGGGGGGGGCAGGUAGUU
This 71-nucleotide ribozyme is filed under the name unclassified sequences. RNAcentral describes it as "pistol ribozyme". It matches the Rfam family "Pistol ribozyme". The record is from RNAcentral.